This 253-nucleotide ribosomal RNA is filed under the name uncultured bacterium. RNAcentral describes it as "partial 16S ribosomal RNA". It matches the Rfam family "Bacterial small subunit ribosomal RNA", at positions 524 to 776 of the family's 1533-position model. The record is from RNAcentral.
UACGUAGGGGGCUAGCGUUGUCCGGAAUCACUGGGCGUAAAGCGCACGUAGGCGGAUUCUUAAGUCAGGGGUGAAAUCCUGGAGCUCAACUCCAGAACUGCCUUUGAUACUGGGAGUCUCGAGUCCGGGAGAGGUGAGUGGAACUGCGAGUGUAGAGGUGAAAUUCGUAGAUAUUCGCAAGAACACCAGUGGCGAAGGCGGCUCACUGGCCCGGUACUGACGCUGAGGUGCGAAAGCGUGGGGAGCAAACAGG